This 442-nucleotide ribosomal RNA is filed under the name uncultured bacterium. RNAcentral describes it as "partial 16S ribosomal RNA". It matches the Rfam family "Bacterial small subunit ribosomal RNA", at positions 338 to 795 of the family's 1533-position model. The record is from RNAcentral.
CCUACGGGAGGCAGCAGUGGGGAAUAUUGGGCAGUGGGCGCAAGCCUGACCCAGCAACGCCGCGUGAAGGAAGAAGGCUUUCGGGUUGUAAACUUCUUUUGUCAGAGAAGAGUAGUAGACGAUGCCUGACGAAUAAGCCACGGCUAACUACGUGCCAGCAGCCGCGGUAAUACGGAGGUGGCAAGCGUUGUCCGGAUUUACUGGGUGUAAAGGGCGUGUAGCCGGGUUGGCAAGUCAGAUGUGAAAUCCUGCGGCUUAACCGCAGAACUGCAUUUGAAACUGUUGAUCUUGAGUACUGGAGAGGCAGACGGAAUUCCUAGUGUAGCGGUGAAAUGCGUAGAUAUCAGGAGGAACACCAGUGGCGAAGGCGGUUUGCUGGACAGCAACUGACGGUGAGGCGCGAAAGCGUGGGGAGCAAACAGGAUUAGAUACCCUUGUAGUC